UAGUGACCGUUCGAUGCAUCAUCCAUUACCAUUAUUUGCAGGUGAGGAAUUGAAACCCUCACCGGCCGGUACUGGUUCAAGCUCGCAAGGGCGGUAUGGGUAUGAUUCCAAGCCGAGCGCGCAAGACCAUGUUAGUUUAGAUCUUCAUCUGUAAUUUGAUAAGUAGGAUAAAAGAGAGAACUUGAGAUUUUUCCUAAGAUGGUCAUCAAAGCUUUUAAUGUAAAAAAUGAGGCAAUUCUUCUAUGGAGAGACUCAUGACCACUAGUGUAAUCUUGAGGCAAUUCUUCUACCUUCUUCUAACUUAGUAUUAAUUUCUUUUGUAAAUGAAAUGAUUUACGUACGUGCUCUUGAAUCGAACCCAAAAACACAAGUAUAAUAAAUAUCACAACAUGAGCUGAGGUUUGCGCAGGACUAGAUAGGUUCCUUGAUGCUUUCUAAUGGUAGCUAGUUUAUUAGUAUUCAUGUAUCAUUUUGGAAACAUUCUCCAGCUGAUUUUAAAAGCUAAAAUUCGUUGAUUUAGUCAUUGAAAGUAAGAGAACCAUCUUCAAAAUUCUUACCUAUUAGUGCAAAUAUAAGGCUCUUUUUCAUUGUUAAGUGUGAUUGGAGGUUCACACAGUACCCUAGCCUGAACAAACCUUGUUCAGUGCAAUCUCAGUCUUUCUUCAGAAUUGGUCACA
RNAcentral lists this long non-coding RNA (677 nucleotides) under Populus trichocarpa (black cottonwood). Its description in RNAcentral is "long non-coding RNA (PTRI_LNC001844)". Lineage: Eukaryota; Viridiplantae; Streptophyta; Magnoliopsida; Malpighiales; Salicaceae. The record is from RNAcentral.